GAUGAACGCUGGCGGCGUGCUUAACACAUGCAAGUCGAGCGAGAAGUCUUUAAAAGAUUCUUCUGCUGAAAUUGAAAAUGGAAAACGACGGACGGGUUAGUAACGCGUAGGCAACCUGCCCCAUACAAAAGGAUAGCACUUGUAAACGAAUAUUAAUACCUUAUGAAAGUUAGCUAGUGCAUGCUAGGUGGGUCAAGGAUUUAUCGGCAUGGGAUGGGCCUGCGUAUGAUUAGCUAGUUGGGCAGGUAACGGCUAACGAAGGCGACGAUCAGUAGCCGACGUGAGAGAGUGAACGGCCACAUAGGAAAUGAGGCACGGGACAAGUGCCUACGGGAGGCAGCAGUGAGGAAGAUUGAACAAUGGGGGCAAGACUGAUGAACCAACGCCGCGUGAACGCGGAAGGCCUUUGGGUCGUAAAGUUCUGUUGUAGGGGAUGAAAACUGACAGUAACCGAGGAGAAAGCACCGGCUAACUCCGUG
This 479-nucleotide ribosomal RNA is filed under the name uncultured bacterium. Its description in RNAcentral is "partial 16S ribosomal RNA". It matches the Rfam family "Bacterial small subunit ribosomal RNA", at positions 28 to 507 of the family's 1533-position model. The record is from RNAcentral.